RNAcentral lists this ribosomal RNA (449 nucleotides) under uncultured bacterium. RNAcentral's name for it is "partial 16S ribosomal RNA". It matches the Rfam family "Bacterial small subunit ribosomal RNA", at positions 29 to 523 of the family's 1533-position model. The record is from RNAcentral.
AACGAACGCUGGCGGCAGGCCUAACACAUGCAAGUCGAGCGAGACCUUCGGGUCUAGCGGCGGACGGGUGAGUAACGCGUGGGAAUAUGCCCUUUGGUGCGGAAUAGCCUCGGGAAACUGAGAGUCAUACCGUAUGUGCCCUUCGGGGGAAAGAUUUAUCGCCAACGGAUUAGCCCGCGUUGGAUUAGGUAGUUGGUGGGGUAAUGGCCUACCAAGCCUACGAUCCAUAGCUGGUUUGAGAGGAUGAUCAGCCACACUGGGACUGAGACACGGCCCAGACUCCUACGGGAGGCAGCAGUGGGGAAUCUUAGACAAUGGGGGAAGCCCUGAUCUAGCCAUGCCGCGUGAGUGAUGAAGGCCUUAGGGUUGUAAAGCUCUUUCAGCUGGGAAGAUAAUGACGGUACCAGCAGAAGAAGCCCCGGCUAACUCCGUGCCAGCCGCCGCUGUAA